Molecule: unclassified non-coding RNA, 325 nt
Filed under: uncultured fungus
Lineage: Eukaryota; Fungi
Description: partial contains small subunit ribosomal RNA, internal transcribed spacer 1, and 5.8S ribosomal RNA
Rfam family: Eukaryotic small subunit ribosomal RNA (bases 1-73)
Source: RNAcentral
GCAAACUUGGUCAUUUAGAGGAAGUAAAAGUCGUAACAAGGUCUCCGUUGGUGAACCAGCGGAGGGAUCAUUACCGAGUUUACCCAAACUCCCAAACCCGCCGUGAACCUUACCUCUCGUUGCUUCGGCGGGUCCGCCCCGGGCGCCACCCCAGCGGUGGCCCCGGAACCAGGCGCCCGCCGGAGGCCCCCGAAACUCUCGUGUCUCCCUCCCGGGCCCGCCCCGGGAACGUUUACUCUGAGUGGCCCGACAAGGGCGUGAAUCACAAUGAAUCAAAACUUUCAACAACGGAUCUCUUGGUUCUGGCAUCGAUGAAGAACGCAGC